CCCUCAAUAACAAAGAGAAACUGAUGGUGCAGUGGCAAGUACCCUGAAAUUAAGUUGUACGUCACCGGUUCGAAUCCCAGUGAAAGCGUUUUAUUUUUUUCUUAUUCAGUUUCAGUUUUUUUUAGUUUUUUUUUUAAUUUUCAGUUCUGUUUUUCAAUUUCUGUAGAUAUAUAUAUUUUGAACCCCCUCAAUAACAAAGAGAAACUGAUGGUGCAGUGGCAAGUACCCUGAAAUUAAGUUGUACGUCACCGGUUCGAAUCCCAGUGAAAGCGUUUUAUUUUUUUCUUAUUCAGUUUCAGUUUUUUUUAGUUUUUUUUUAAUUUUCAGUUCUGUUUUUCAAGUUUUUUUUAGUUUUUUUUUACUUUAAAAAAUGUGCUAAAAGUUUGGUUUUAAACCCAAAAGAAUUCAAGGUUUCCAU
This 418-nucleotide long non-coding RNA is filed under the name Solanum tuberosum (potato). RNAcentral describes it as "long non-coding RNA (STUB_LNC001222)". The record is from RNAcentral. Lineage: Eukaryota; Viridiplantae; Streptophyta; Magnoliopsida; Solanales; Solanaceae.